Molecule: ribosomal RNA, 652 nt
Filed under: uncultured bacterium
Lineage: Bacteria
Description: bacterial SSU rRNA
Rfam family: Bacterial small subunit ribosomal RNA
Source: RNAcentral
CAUCUUAGUGGCGAACGGGUGAGUAACGCGUAAUCAACCUGCCCUUCAGAGGGGGACAACAGUUGGAAACGACUGCUAAUACCGCAUACGAUCUAACCUCGGCAUCGAGGAAAGAUGAAAGGUGGCCUCUAUUUAUAAGCUAUCACUGAAGGAGGGGAUUGCGUCUGAUUAGCUAGUUGGAGGGGUAACGGCCCACCAAGGCGAUGAUCAGUAGCCGGUCUGAGAGGAUGAACGGCCACAUUGGGACUGAGACACGGCCCAGACUCCUACGGGAGGCAGCAGUGGGGAAUCUUCCGCAAUGGACGAAAGUCUGACGGAGCAACGCCGCGUGAGUGAUGACGGCCUUCGGGUUGUAAAGCUCUGUUAAUCGGGACGAAAGGCCUUCUUGCGAACAGUUAGAAGGAUUGACGGUACCGGAAUAGAAAGCCACGGCUAACUACGUGCCAGCAGCCGCGGUAAUACGUAGGUGGCAAGCGUUGUCCGGAAUUAUUGGGCGUAAAGCGCGCGCAGGCGGAUCAGUCAGUCUGUCUUAAAAGUUCGGGGCUUAACCCCGUGAUGGGAUGGAAACUGCUGAUCUAGAGUAUCGGAGAGGAAAGUGGAAUUCCUAGUGUAGCGGUGAAAUGCGUAGAUAUUAGGAAGAACACCAGUGGCG